UAAAAUGGAAGAGAAACGGAAGAGGAAAGACAAAGAGAAAGGAGGGAGUUCUUUUAAUUCUUGGUAUUUCCUCUUUCUUUUUCUUUCUUUUCUUUUCCACUACU
RNAcentral lists this non-coding RNA (104 nucleotides) under Paramoeba aestuarina. The record is from RNAcentral. Lineage: Eukaryota; Discosea; Flabellinia; Dactylopodida; Paramoebidae.